Molecule: ribosomal RNA, 520 nt
Filed under: uncultured bacterium
Lineage: Bacteria
Description: bacterial SSU rRNA
Rfam family: Bacterial small subunit ribosomal RNA
Source: RNAcentral
GGGAACGUACCCUUCGGUUCGGAAUAACUCAGGGAAACUUGAGCUAAUACCGGAUACGCCCUUUUGGGGAAAGGUUUACUGCCGAAGGAUCGGCCCGCGUCUGAUUAGCUUGUUGGUGGGGUAACGGCCUACCAAGGCGACGAUCAGUAGCUGGUCUGAGAGGAUGAUCAGCCACACUGGGACUGAGACACGGCCCAGACUCCUACGGGAGGCAGCAGUGGGGAAUAUUGGACAAUGGGCGCAAGCCUGAUCCAGCCAUGCCGCGUGAGUGAUGAAGGCCUUAGGGUUGUAAAGCUCUUUUGUCCGGGACGAUAAUGACGGUACCGGAAGGAUAAGCCCCGGCUAACUUCGUGCCAGCAGCCGCGGUAAUACGAAGGGGGCUAGCGUUGCUCGGAAUCACUGGGCGUAAAGGGCGCGUAGGCGGCCGAUUAAGUCGGGGGUGAAAGCCUGUGGCUCAACCACAGAAUUGCCUUCGAUACUGGUUGGCUUGAGACCGGAAGAGGACAGCGGAACUGCGAGU